GUGAGGAAUAUUGGUCAAUGGGCGAGAGCCUGAACCAGCCAAGUCGCGUGAAGGAAGAAGGAUCUAUGGUUCGUAAACUUCUUUUGCAGGGGAAUAAAGUGCAGGACGUGUCCUGUUUUGUAUGUACCCUGAGAAUAAGGAUCGGCUAACUACGUGCCAGCAGCCGCGGUAAUACGGAGGAUCCGAGCGUUAUCCGGAUUUAUUGGGUUUAAAGGGUGCGUAGGUGGUUUGAUAAGUCAGCGGUGAAAGUUUGCAGCUUAACUGUAAAAAUGCCGUUGAAACUGUCGGACUUGAGUGUAAAUGAGGUAGGCGGAAUGCGUGGUGUAGCGGUGAAAUGCAUAGAUAUCACGCAGAACUCCGAUUUCGAAGGCAGCUUACUAAGCUACAACUGACACUGAAGCACGAAAGCGUGGGGAUCAAACAGGAUUAGAAACCCGAGUAGUCC
This 445-nucleotide ribosomal RNA is filed under the name uncultured bacterium. RNAcentral describes it as "partial 16S ribosomal RNA". It matches the Rfam family "Bacterial small subunit ribosomal RNA", at positions 354 to 796 of the family's 1533-position model. The record is from RNAcentral.